Amborella trichopoda is the source of this 3147-nucleotide long non-coding RNA. RefSeq lists it as uncharacterized. The record is from RefSeq and is a predicted model, not a curated record. Lineage: Eukaryota; Viridiplantae; Streptophyta; Magnoliopsida; Amborellales; Amborellaceae.
GUGAGGCUUUCGUUGGGGAAGUGGACAUCACUGGUGAUGCUCUAAGUUUUGCAAGGUGAUGAAUGGUUCAUACUUGCUGGGUAUGGGGGUUUUCGAUGGACCAGUGGCUAACUUAUGCAUGAAAAACUCCACGGGGAGAAAAAUGUAUUUCUAAGGUAGAGAAUGGUUAUCUUCCUGGGGUUGAAAAGAUCCAAAGGUGAUGAAGGCAUAACAUGUUUCAUCAUGGUAUUCUUUAACUUGGGAUGUUGGUUUGUUGGGGUGGAUGGACCACUGAAAGUAGUGGCUUCACUGGGGAUGCUGAUCCCCUAAAUUACAAUCCACUGGGAGAGAUGGGCCAUCGGCUUACAUUGGGGUAUACGGUCCAUUGGCAGUAGAAGUCAACUGGGGAUGAUGUAUCAUCCAGAGUGAUGGACCACCAAGGUUGGUGGUUUAUUUGUGAAUUGAUGGACCACCGGCGAUGGUGUAUCAUCAGGGGUUCUUAUGGCGCUCUGAGCAUGACAUCACUCAUGGGGUUUCAUGAAAGUUCAAAUGAGCAAGGUAUGUUUGGUACAGAUCCAUGGGAAUAAUGGAGUUUUAAGGUGAAGCCCAAGUGAGCAAGGGUUGUUGGGAUGGUUCGUGAUGGGGAUAGGGUUGUUGAUUGGGAUGGUUUGGGAUUCCCAUGGUUUUACUUAAUUCACUCCCUUCCAAUUGUAGAUUUGUAUAUCUGAAUAGAGGGUCAUACUGGAUUUAUGAAUUCAUGGCCCAUGAUGGGAUAGAGAAAUAGAAAUGGAUUUGACGGGUCCACGCCUAGGCGCGGGCAGAUAUUUUUAUUGAGAGAGUGAGAGAUAAAAAGGAAUUUGACAGGCUCGCGCCAAGGUGCAGGUGUGGGACUUUAUAAAGAAGAGUAGGAGAGAGAUGGUUUUACCCAGAAAAUUUUACAGUCGGUAAAAAACGAGCUUUUUACCCUAUCUCGAAGUUCCACUGUAGAGAGAGAGAACUUCUUUGAGUCACUUUCUUGAAGCUAUGGCCAUGGUUAGGUACCAGCUCUCGUCAUCCCAAAGCCAAGAUUCUUGUUGUGCCCCAAUUACCAUGCCCUGGAGAAUUCGGCAUUGGUAAAUAUACCGGUGCUUCCUUUGCAAGAUCCACCACUCUAGCUGUUUUCGACCCAAUCAGAAGUUAGAGUGGCCUUUGAGCAUCACCUAUGUAGGUGAAGAUGCGUGGUUCUAUCUUUAUGAAGAUGACAAUGGUGAGCCCGUGUUCCAAGGAGAUGGUGUACCUAUAUACCAUGCUCUUCAUAGAAAUUUCGAUUCAAGCGAGAAUAUGCCCACUCUGGGCAAGAGGAUGAUGGCAAAACUGGGUUUGCACUAGGCGUGAGGUGGAUUCCGUUUUGUGUGGGAGCACCAAUACUUUGAGAGGGUACAACACUUGGACAUUUGAUGUCCUUGAAUCACAUGCCGGAGCUUUAGAAGCAUGCGGUGUAGGUGAAGCAUGUCAGUGUUCUGCUGGCUACUAUGAUAAGUGUUCUAACACCAUUAGGGCCUUAUUGGAGACUUGGUGCUUCAAGAGCAACAAGUGGCAUUUGGAUUGUGGUGAGGGAGGAACUACCCUUCUUGACAUGCAUUUCAUUGUGGGACUUCGCAUGCUGAGAUUCAUGUAUGAAGAGUUUAUCCUUGACAACGAAGUGAUCUUCGGGGAUAAACCUAUCAAUGGUGUGCUUGCACGUCCGGGUCUUCGGGAGCUGUUUGAAGUUAAACCAGCUCCUAUAUUCAGAAGAAAGGACGAAGUCUAAGGCUGUGUACUUUAUAGCAUGGAGAGACUUCUUUCAUGGAGACCGCUGUGACAAGCAGGAACCCAGUUCUGCCGUCAUCUGGGACGUUGACGACCAAGGAUUGAGGGAAGAAGAGGACACCAAAGAGCCCGUAUGCCCCCCAAGGAUGUCCGAGAAGGACAUUGUGUAUUUGGCUUCCUACUUGGCUCUUUUCUUGUGCACGUUUGCACUCUCAGUCCUUCGCCCUGGCUGCUUUUAUGUAGCUUGCCGACUUGCUCAGGGGGCAAUUGCGCUUGGUAAAGCUACUACCAAAGAUAACAAGACUGAGCCCUUUGGAGGGGAAGUACGUCCUGGCCGCUUCAGGACAAGCUUCCCUGUUCAUUACAUAUUCGGCUGGCUUUCUGCCUAUUUUCCAGGAGCAAAUGAGAUAAAAAAUGAUCUUACAGGUUUUGCCUGCCCUCAUAUGUUAAAAAUUGCAGGAAUGAAAACCAUUUUCAGGGGGCCAGUUUAAGCGCGUAAGUUCCUGGCAGAUGCUUCCUUCUCUUCUCAAGGUUCGUGCGAGAGAGCUUUUGUCUCAAGUAUUGGAGGCUCUUCUUGUCAUCCGGGGUCUUGUAGUACAAAAAACCAAUUGAUUAGUGAUUGCAAUCUGCUAUUUAAUGUAUCUCUUGGACAGUCUUCUGCUUGAGAUUAGUAAAAACAAGCGCCAUUUCAUAUGAGUUUGCAUUUCUGGUUAGCAGAUCCUUGGAGAAGAAAGAAAGGGACGAAAAUCUCUGUGGGAGGACAUCCACUGUAGUACAGAGCUCUUGAGGCAUUCGACUCCCUAUGAAAGUAUUGUCUAAUCCCAUUAGAGGAGCCCUAGGAGAACAAUAUGAAUGAUGAUGUACUUGGGGACAUUGGAGAGAGUACCUCUCGAUCGGAGGAUCAGAUCAUGACACAGCCCAUUACUACACCAGCGCUAAUGGAGGUGGUUGGACGGGUAUACUAUACUUGUGUUAUGAAUGCCUCAACAUCAGCAUCUCCUUCCUCUCCCCUCAACAUUACUAAUUCAAAAAAUGGGAAUGAGUGUGGUGCUCAAGCUAUAGUGGAUGAAGUUUGCCAUGAUUUUCCAUCUGAUGAGGACAUAGUUGCAAUAAAUGGAAGAGGAGAUCCGUUACUUAUAGAUGUUGAGGCAGCCCAAGCAAGUGGUGCAAGUAUCGAACCGGCAAUAGGAAUGACAUUUACUAAGGAAGAUGUAGCUUAUGAUUAUUAUAAAUAAAUCCUUACCUUAAAAUUCACCAAAGAUUGUAGUUUUGACAUUGGAAAACUUUCAAGUCAGUUAUUUCGGCCUUGACCAUUAUGGUUGUGAACAAAAAGUAUUGGUAUUUUCAAACCCUAAAGAUAGCAUAUAUUGUUACCCAUUA